This 490-nucleotide ribosomal RNA is filed under the name uncultured bacterium. Its description in RNAcentral is "bacterial SSU rRNA". It matches the Rfam family "Bacterial small subunit ribosomal RNA", at positions 8 to 507 of the family's 1533-position model. The record is from RNAcentral.
AGAGUUUGAUCCUGGCUCAGGAUGAACGCUGGCGGCGUGCUUAACACAUGCAAGUCGAACGAUGAAAGCGGGAGCUUGCUCCUGCUGGAUUAGUGGCGAACGGGUGAGUAACACGUGAGUAACCUGCCCUUGACUCUGGGAUAAGCGUUGGAAACGACGUCUAAUACCGGAUACGACCUUCGGAGGCAUCUCCUGGGGGUGGAAAGAAUUUCGGUCAAGGAUGGACUCGCGGCCUAUCAGCUAGUUGGUGAGGUAAUGGCUCACCCAAGGCGACGACGGGUAGCCGGCCUGAGAGGGUGACCGGCCACACUGGGACUGAGACACGGCCCAGACUCCUACGGGAGGCAGCAGUGGGGAAUAUUGCACAAUGGGCGCAAGCCUGAUGCAGCAACGCCGCGUGAGGGACGACGGCCUUCGGGUUGUAAACCUCUUUAGUAGGGAAGAAGCGAAAGUGACGGUACCUGCAGAAAAAGCACCGGCUAACUACGUG